UGUUUUGGUUUGUUUCAUUGUUUGUUUACACUUUAGCAGCAAAACUAUUGGUUGAAUUCAGACCAAAUUGGGUUUGAAAUUUGCAAGUGACCGAGAACAGAUGUGAUGACAUUUGGGGGAAAGUAGGUCAAAGUUCAAAUUUUUAAUGAAUUUUUUAAAUCUUUUUUUUUCCCCAUUUACUCAUAACAGACAAAAUUUCACAUGUCUA
Molecule: long non-coding RNA, 208 nt
Organism: Sphaeramia orbicularis (orbiculate cardinalfish)
Lineage: Eukaryota; Metazoa; Chordata; Actinopteri; Kurtiformes; Apogonidae
Exons: 3
Source: RefSeq, a predicted model, not a curated record